RNAcentral lists this ribosomal RNA (253 nucleotides) under uncultured bacterium. RNAcentral describes it as "partial 16S ribosomal RNA". It matches the Rfam family "Bacterial small subunit ribosomal RNA", at positions 524 to 776 of the family's 1533-position model. The record is from RNAcentral.
UACGUAGGUGGCAAGCGUUGUCCGGAAUUAUUGGGCGUAAAGCGCACGCAGGCGGUCCUUUAAGUCUGAUGUGAAAGCCCACGGCUCAACCGUGGAGGGUCAUUGGAAACUGGGGGACUUGAGUACAGAAGAGAAGAGUGGAAUUCCACGUGUAGCGGUGAAAUGCGUAGAGAUGUGGAGGAACACCAGUGGCGAAGGCGACUCUUUGGUCUGUAACUGACGCUGAGGCGCGAAAGCGUGGGGAGCAAACAGG